Non-coding RNA from Acanthosepion pharaonis, 89 nucleotides. NCBI's taxonomy places the organism in Eukaryota, Metazoa, Mollusca, Cephalopoda, Sepiida, Sepiidae. The record is from the annotation of a GenBank genome assembly.
CAGCCGUAUCACGUUGAAACACCCGUUCUCGUUCGAUCACCGAAGUUAAGCAAUGUUGAACCUGGGCGUACCGAGAUGAGUGACCAGGU